ACUGUAUACAACUGAGUGUUACUUAUCAUGGCCAAUUAUGGACUAGAGCUGCUGCUGCUGCUAAGUCGCUUCAGUUGUGUCCGACUCUGUGCAACCCCAUAGAUGGCAGCCCACCAGGCUCCCCCAUCCCUGGGAUUCUCCAGAGGACACCUCUUUUCUGCUCAGGACUCCAGCUUAGCUGAGGAUGUGAUCCACCCUUCUUGCAACCAUUUCUGAAGAAUGUGGUCAGAAAGCCUCCAUCUUUCUGGUAUAAGCAAGUUCCCUAAAAUGAGAGUGAUCUGCCAAGAGGAGAAGCCCGAGAGCAAUGGUUAUAUUCUCCCUACUGGCCAGAAUGCUUUGUGUUCCGAACCAUGAGACAUGAGGACGUUGACUGUGGGAAGUGCGCAUCUCCGUUUCAUGUGGACACAGGGACUUAACCACCUUCGAUUUCCUUUUCCUGAACAGUCUUUGCCCAUAUCCCUUCAAAUACCCUAUGACUCGAGAUCCUCUUGGCCACCCUUGUUGAUUACCAUUAGUUUGCCCUUCUGAGAGAAAACCCCAUACAGUCACCCGUCAUCUGAACUUCGCUGCUCAAGAAUCAGACACCUCCUCUUGUCCCUUUCAGAACUGGCGUGGACUCAGGAACCGAACAUCCUGGACAUAGACAGUCCAAGGCAGGGACAGUACAUAACGCCCUUCCUGCAAAGGGCUACGGACUCAGCCUCCUCUAUGAAUCUUUCCUUGUCAGACCGUCUCUCCCAGGCUACCGUGAAAACCCGGGGAUUUGGGGCCAACACUUUUUUAGCAAAACAAAGAGGACUAUGACUUUAUUUUCUCUGUACUUUUUAUCUUGGGGGGGGGGCGGAAAGCUUGAUAGAUCAGCAGCUAUUUUAAGGGUUUAAAAAAAAAUGUAGGAUAUCAUUAGCACAAGAUUGCUUACAAAUGUGCACAUUAUCUUCCAAAAUGGCACUUUCUUAGUGUCUAGGAGAUUUAAAAAACUG
Molecule: long non-coding RNA, 980 nt
Organism: Bos taurus (domestic cattle)
Lineage: Eukaryota; Metazoa; Chordata; Mammalia; Artiodactyla; Bovidae
Source: Ensembl